GUGAACCAGUACCGUGAGGGAAAGGUGAAAAGAACCCCGGGAGGGGAGUGAAAGAGAACCUGAAACCGUGUGCCUACAAGUAGUCAGAGCCCGUUAACGGGUAAUGGCGUGCCUUUUGUAGAAUGAACCGGCGAGUUGCGUUAGUCAGCAAGGUUAAGUCAGAAAAGACGGAGCCGUAGCGAAAGCGAGUCUGAAGAGGGCGAGCAGUUGGCUGACGCAGACCCGAAACCAAGUGACCUACCCAUGACCAGGUUGAAGGCGCGGUAAAACGCGCUGGAGGACCGAACCCACGUAAGUUGAAAAUUGCGG
This 309-nucleotide ribosomal RNA is filed under the name Lactobacillus delbrueckii subsp. bulgaricus. Its description in RNAcentral is "partial 23S ribosomal RNA". It matches the Rfam family "Bacterial large subunit ribosomal RNA", at positions 490 to 801 of the family's 2925-position model. The record is from RNAcentral. Lineage: Bacteria; Bacillati; Bacillota; Bacilli; Lactobacillales; Lactobacillaceae.